This 4193-nucleotide long non-coding RNA is filed under the name Gossypium barbadense (sea-island cotton). Its description in RNAcentral is "long non-coding RNA (GBAR_LNC007472)". The record is from RNAcentral. Lineage: Eukaryota; Viridiplantae; Streptophyta; Magnoliopsida; Malvales; Malvaceae.
UUGUUUUCCCUUUGCGCAUUAUCUUGAAGUGUAUUAAUAGGUGACAAGAAGGUUAGUCAUGGUUCCUCCUUUUUCCUGAUCCUAGGUGCCAAAAUAGGGUGACGAAUAUUAAAUUAGGUUAUUGUUGAACUUAACCCAAAAUUACUUGACAAGGAAUUGCCAAAUGUGAUAGAUUAACAGGUGCCUAUAAGAGGUCAUUUCAAUAUAUUUCCUUGGAUUUUGUGGGUCCUAGGGGAGUGACGUUUAGAAAAUGGUAUGGUAAGUGUCUUAAGGGUGGAGGAAGCAGUGUAGGUUUGCCAAGCAUGAGUCUUGUAAAAGCGAAAUAAUGUAGGGUGAUAAAGUAUCACAGGCCAUUAUUAUGCUUUUAUGAGAUGGAUUGUUUAGGAUAGAGCUUUCUAAGGAAACUGGAUUUUAUGCAAAAUAUAAGGGUAUAAUAAUUGUCCCUUAGCCAAAAUGCAAGUUAAAAAGUGACUUGGCUUGAGGUGUUCGAUGUUUUGAUGGUAAGGGGUCAGUUUUUUAAUUUAGUUGAUGUUCGUCUAAGAGGUCAUUAUUGCUUCACCAACUAAUGUGUCCAUUUCUUUGUGCUUGAACACGUGGUAAUUUGUGAUGGGUGUCCUUGGGAAGUUGUCUUUUCCUCCAACCAUUGUUUCCAUUUGAUGUUUCGGUUCAUUUCCCCACUUGUUCUUCUAUAAAUUGUGUACUUUACACCUAGUAAAGGAACCUGUAUUUGUCAUCUAAGUAUUUUUCUUUGUGUGAUUUUUUCUCUCUAAUUCUUCUCGUGUUAAGUUUCUUCAUAUAUUCGUUUUUGUUUCUCCAAAUGGCUAACAUUUCUUCGAUUUGAGAGGUUGUGGUGAGAGGUGAGGAAUUGGAUUGUACCAUGACAUUGGAGGAUAUGGUAGCCAUGUUGCUAUUGCGGCCAGGGGCAAAGUCAAAAAAAUUUUUGGGGGUUAGAAUUAAAUUAUAUAUUUUUAUGAUAGUAAAAAGAUAAUUUCACCAUUUUAAUAGUUUACAUCUUUAUAAUUUUUAAAUGAUUAAAUCAAAUUGUUAUCAUUUUUAGAGGGGCAAAGUGUAAUUUUACUAUUACCAAUUUAAAAUUUUAUCAAUUAUAAAGGGCCUAAAUGGAAAAUUUUCCAUUUUAAGGGCUCCGCCCCUGAUUGCAGCGCCUUUUGGUUUUCCACUAUAGGUAUGAAUUCACCAUUUCAUCGACUACCCAUUGCAUGAGUAAGGUUGUAGAAAAUGACACAUCUUUCUUUCAUUCAUUCCAUUUAUUAGAAAAAAGUUUCCAUCUGUCACUUUACCCUAGUUUGUUCAAGUUCUAUGAGUUUACCAUUUUGCAUCGAGCUAUUGUUAGGGACUUUGUGGUAUCUAUUGUUCUAUUUUCUUGACUAUCUAAAAAGGAGUAUAAUGUUAGAUUUCUUGAUCUAGGAACUUAUUUACUUUGAAUUUCACUAAUCCUCUUAGUAUACAAGAUUUUCCCUCGCGAAAAAUGAGGAGAUGUUCAAUGUUUAUCAAUUACCCUAAGACGUUUCUUUUUGCCCCUGAAACUACAUUAUGAUAAGAAAUAAGUUGGGAAAUUUUUCUUUUCCUUUAUAGUGGAUUAUUUCGAUGCUAGCUAGGUUUGUUUCACUUUCGCUGGUGGAGUCCUCUAUGCAAUAGCAGUAUCAUUACUUGGUUGGGAGUAGAUUACCGUUGAUAAGGUUUGGAUAUUGUUCAAUAUUUGGAGGAUUUUUCAAUGAGUGACGCUUUAACAGGACAUCUCCAAUGAGGUAAGCAAGAUGGUAAACAAAUUUGGCAUAACUAUUCCACCAUUGGCAUACCAUACUAGAGUGGUGAUUACCUAGCAAUGCUAAUGAUAGGUAUAGAAGAAAAACCUAUGGGUUUUUCUUAUUAUUACACACUCUAAUAUCUACAAAUAAAGGCUUUGGCUGCUAGGACUAAUGCAGGUGAGACUGCUGACGGGUGAGGCCAUAAAGUUACAGCGAAUACUAGCAAUAUUGGUUUAUUCUAUUACUAAUUUUAACUUGUAAACUAUUUGUUGACCCUUCUAACCUUGAUAUUCUUUUGUACAAUGUAUAGGUUUGUUUACUAGGCCACAUAAUGUAAUGGUGAUAAGACCUCUAAUGGAGCUAGCAUAGACACUUUUCGUUUAUCUUAUCAUCAUAAGAAAUGAGAGUUUAAGGGUCGCCCACUUCUUAAAGGUGGACUUACAUUAGGCCUUUUGUUAAAUCUUAAUCUAAUUUUUAGUAGAGAACCAAAAGUUAAAGGAAGCCAACUAGAGUUGUUUAAAUUAGUUAGGAGCAGUGUUGAGGAAACCAAAAGCUAAUGAAGAGAAAAUUAAGCUUUAGAAUGAAUAAUUCUUAUUAGAGCAAAAGAAGAACUGAGUUAUCCCUAUAUGUACUUCUCGAAGUAGUCAUAGUGAUGCCUUAUUGUCUGAUUUGAAGACUUCUAUGAUAAUUUUAUCUGAAAUGGUAAGGAAAGCUAAAUAUGAAUUGGUGGUGAUGGAGUCAUAAGAGAGGUUUGAUGCAAAGAAUAAUAAGUUUGUCCUUAAAAGAACGUAUGAUAAGGUGGAUAGACUCUUUUCUAAAAAUGUCCUAAAUUUGUGCCACACAACUUUAAGUAACAUUUAAUUUAUUUGUAUUCUUUUUGAUCUAUGGGAAGUUAGGUUGGGCACUCGGUAUGUUGUCCCAUAUUUGAUUGACAUACUUUGUCCUUUAGUGGUUGGCUCAGUGAAAAGUGAUGUGUGGAGCCGCAAAUGAAGGCAAAAGGAAAAGGAAUGAUUGACCUUGAAUCUAAAGAUAUACUAUCUAAAGACUAAGAUAGAUUUUCUUUUGUAGAAGUAUUAAGAUAAAAUGAGAUUUUCUUUCGUAUACUAAGAUAAAUGUUUCUAUGUUGCCAUUUUUAUUUUUAUUAUAAUGGAAUCUAGAUAUGGUGUUGCUUUAGUAGUGUUUCAUUAUUUUUUGGAGUUAAUCUAUUUGGUUAUUUCAUGCAUUAGUAGUAUUUAAAUGAAUCAUCAAUUUGCAUUGAUUUAUUGUUUCUUUGUGAAUUAUACAAUCAUAUGCCUGAUAAGGGGUGUUAGCCUAAAUAAGCGAUGCUACAUUUUGUAUAAGUUUGAUAUGGCAUAAAAAGACGCUUUGUUAAUAUUAGAGGGGGAUUACCCUUCAAAGGUGUCACACCCCAACUCUAGAAGGUCUAAGAUUAAGGCGUUUAGGUGGUGAAAUCAACUCUUUGACGAAGUAUAAUCCACCUAUUUGCUUAUUUUGGCGUAUAUGUGUGGGUGUAUAACAAUCAUCGUGUAAAUAAGUGAAGAUUCUAUUUCAAGUUAUUCUGCUAUUUUAAGAGGAAAUUUUUGUUAAAUGACAAGGUAGUUAUGGUAAGAUUUGUCGUCAAAUGUAUAUUACGUCUUAUUUAUCUAAAGUACUGAUAACUCUUGAAAAGAGUUAUAAUUCAUCCUUUUCGACUUAAUUAAUUGCUUGUACGUAAGUAAAAUUAGCUUCGUUUUAGACAAUUGCAUGAUCAUUUCUAAUCAAUCAAGUAGUGUAUCUAAGAACUUGAGAUGGUAAUUACUUUACUACAUCUUUACUUUUAAUUGCUCGUGGAAAGGUUUUGUUGUGGCUAGAUGGCAGGUUUAAAGGAAAAGGAUAGCAGAGGAUGGAGGUUUGCCGAGGCAUUAUGAGAGGUUGCCAUGGCAAUGCUGGUGAAGAAAACGAUAAAAACCCAAUCAGCAAUAAGAGCACUCAGCAUUUGGUCCUCCACAUGCACAUGUAAUAGAGAAUAUUCAUCUCAGAAUUAGGGAAAAAGAAAUCAUUGGCUAACGGCUUUUACCCUAGAAGACAACCUAAGUAUAAAAGGCAAUAAAAAUGGGAGAGACAAGGGAGGGCAAUUUUUCUGAGCUAGGACAAAAGUUUCAUGGUGACAAGAAGGGCAAGUUGUAUUGAUUGUGAACUUUGGUGAAGAUGAGCAACAAGACGUUGAGUCGAGAGGAUUAGAGUUUUGAAACCCAGAUUUUUUCCUUUGCAUUUUGUUUCAAUUUUUCUGUUCUAAACUGAUAUUUUGGGAUAAUGAUGAUACGAAAACAACUUGAAUUUGUGUAGCCCAGCCAUGAGCUAACUUAAUAUGGUUGGGGUUUGCUUUGGAUGAUAUUUUAACUUCGAUUAAUGUUUAUGGAUUAAUAUAGUUCAUAUUACUGCUUUACC